GGAUAACUUUCCGACCAUGUCAGAAAUCAUGGAGGCAUCGAGAUCCCAAAAUCUUGAUCUUCAGCUGAAAACAUUAGGGCCCUUUUUCAGAAUCACAGCGAAGAGCAUAAAAACCCAAAGAGACCUUGGAAAAGCUGAGGGUUUGAUAAGGGUUUGGUUUCAAGGUAAAAUUCUACAUUUAGACUCAAUCAGACUUCAGAGAGAGACUCUGGGGAUGGAAAAAUCAAUAUUUGGGAUUGGAUUGUUUAUUGGAGCAGUCGCAAUUAGGCAUGGUUAUGACUCUGGUUGUAAAAAAGCU
RNAcentral lists this unclassified non-coding RNA (298 nucleotides) under Hevea brasiliensis (rubber tree). Lineage: Eukaryota; Viridiplantae; Streptophyta; Magnoliopsida; Malpighiales; Euphorbiaceae. The record is from RNAcentral.